GUGGGUAUAAUUUAACAGGUAGAAUAUUAGGUUGUGGUUCUAAAAGUAUGGGUUCAAGUCCCAUUUCUCACC
This 72-nucleotide transfer RNA is filed under the name Legionellales bacterium. Its description in RNAcentral is "tRNA-His". It matches the Rfam family "tRNA". Rfam says of the family: Transfer RNA (tRNA) molecules are approximately 80 nucleotides in length. Lineage: Bacteria; Pseudomonadati; Pseudomonadota; Gammaproteobacteria; Legionellales. The record is from RNAcentral.